Molecule: small RNA, 105 nt
Filed under: Marmota monax (woodchuck)
Lineage: Eukaryota; Metazoa; Chordata; Mammalia; Rodentia; Sciuridae
Source: RNAcentral
GCCGGGCACGGUGACGCACGCCUGUAAUGCCAGCGGCUCAGGAGGCUGAGGCAGGAAGAUCGCGAGUUCAGAGCCAGCCUCACCAAAAGUGAGGCCCUGUCUCUA